CAAGCAUAUUUUCUUUGAAAACUUCUAAAGAGGUUUUGGCUAGAACCCCUUCAGCACCGAAUGAUCCGACACUACUCAAGGGACCAUCGGAGCAUUCACUGGAGCAACUUUUCACUAUUGUAAUGGUCAUAUUUUGGAGAUGUGAGUGAUCGGAUGUUCCGACGCCUUGGGGGAUGGAGACCAUCGGAACAUCCAAUGGUGUGCUUUUCUGCAAGCAGUUUUUUGACGGCUAGCUGCG
This 238-nucleotide long non-coding RNA is filed under the name Setaria italica (foxtail millet). RNAcentral describes it as "long non-coding RNA (SITA_LNC004940)". Lineage: Eukaryota; Viridiplantae; Streptophyta; Magnoliopsida; Poales; Poaceae. The record is from RNAcentral.